UACGUAGGGGGCUAGCGUUGUCCGGAAUCAUUGGGCGUAAAGCGCGCGUAGGCGGCCCGGUAAGUCCGUUGUGAAAGUCAGAGGCUCAACCUUUGAAAGCCGGUGGAUACUGCCGGGCUGGAGUCCGGAAGAGGCGAGUGGAAUUCCUGGUGUAGCGGUGAAAUGCGCAGAUAUCAGGAGGAACACCAAUAGCGAAGGCAGUGGUCUGGGACGAUACUGACGCUGAGGAGCGAAAGCGUGGGGAGCGAACAGG
Molecule: ribosomal RNA, 253 nt
Filed under: uncultured bacterium
Lineage: Bacteria
Description: partial 16S ribosomal RNA
Rfam family: Bacterial small subunit ribosomal RNA
Source: RNAcentral